RNAcentral lists this ribosomal RNA (446 nucleotides) under uncultured bacterium. Its description in RNAcentral is "partial 16S ribosomal RNA". It matches the Rfam family "Bacterial small subunit ribosomal RNA", at positions 338 to 795 of the family's 1533-position model. The record is from RNAcentral.
CCUACGGGAGGCAGCAGUCGAGAAUCAUUCACAAUGGGGGAAACCCUGAUGGUGCGACGCCGCGUGGGGGAAUGAAGGUCUUCGGAUUGUAAACCCCUGUCAUGUGGGAGCAAAUUAAAAAGAUAGUACCACAAGAGGAAGAGACGGCUAACUCUGUGCCAGCAGCCGCGGUACUACAGAGGUCUCACGCGUUGUUCGGAAUCACUGGGCGUAAAGCGUGCGUAGGCUGUUUCGUAAGUCGUGUGUGAAAGGCGCGGGCUCAACCCGCGGACGGCACAUGAUACUGCGAGACUAGAGUAAUGGAGGGGGAACCGGAAUUCUCGGUGUAGCAGGGAAAUGCGUAGAUAUCGAGAGGAACACUCGUGGCGAAGGCGGGUUCCUGGACAUUAACUGACGCUGAGGCACGAAGGCCAGGGGAGCGAAAGGGAUUAGAUACCCCUGUAGUC